AUGACUACAGACUUGAGAAGUACAGAGCUUAAAAGGAAAAGAGACACACAAACAAUAAAAGAAGGGAAGACCAUCAGAUUUUAUUAUACUUCUGAGAUGGAUAAACUAUUGUUGUUAUAUAUAAAAAGAUUACAUUAUUUCCAGUCAAAAUUGGCUGUCAUCACUGUUGACAAGCUUAAGGGGAGUACAAAAAAACAAAUAGAGAGGAAACCCAGGGUAGAGUAGACAAAUAUUCUCAUGGUAGAUAUUAAUAUGUACAGUGAUUCAGGAAUGAAGGGUAGUCUAUAAAUAAAAUAAUGAUGAUAUGUAGUUUAGUUAGGAAAUAUAGAGUAGGAGAUAAACAAAAUAAUUAGGUGGAUUAUGUUAAUACAGUAAUUAGAAUGCAAUUUUUGAUUAAUAAGAGUUGUCCUAUGAGUCAUUUAUAGGCUUGUAACAGAAAGAAAUCUCAGUGUAUAAGCUCAGGUGUUGAAAUAUGCAAGAAACAGUUUUCUAUAUUUUUCUCUAGCUGAACUUAAUUUGUAUUCUGGGCCUCAGUUCCAUCAAGUGGCAGAAACUCAAUCUCAAUCAGCUUUCACUGACUCUCCUCCAGGACUGUGUCUACAAAUUGCCAGGUGGGGGGCCAUCUGGCCCUCCGUGUCAUCAACUAUCCCUGCUGGCACCUGCUGAGACGUCCUUCUUUCAGUCUGGUCUGUGGUCACUGGUCCUUGCAGGUUGCCACUGCAGCCUCCUUGUCCUCAUUCCAAGGACACAUUCAGUCUGCUGGCUCUCUGUGCAUUUUUCACUGGAGAAAUUUUGCUUCUCCUGUCCUGCCCUACACUAAGGACAACUCUGUGACCUGCUCUUAGCCUAUGCCUACUCAAGCCUUGCUUUUAGAGAGUCCUGAUUCAUUUGAAGUUUUUGUGAUUAUUCUCUCAACACUGGAUUUAUUCCAUGGACAUUGAUAAAGCAAACAUCCUUUCUCAGUGAUGUCUCAGUGAUAUCUAGACUCUUCUUUUUUGCCUCUCACUUUCUUUUUCUUCCUAGCCUAUGGAAUUUUGCCAUGGAGAGGGAGCUAACAUAGGAAGAACAGCUUUUAUCUACACAUUCUGCACUCUUCCAAAUUGUUUGGGUUUUGAAACUCAAAAUCCUAUGGCUAUGUUUUNNNNNNNNUCUAAUUUUAUUUCUGGCAUGUUGGUCACUAAUUGAUACAAUGAGAAUGAAAUAUUCUAACUACCUGAGUUAGGGGAAGGAGCAUAAGAUUAAAAAAAACAAGUACCAAAAAAUCACGUUGGUAAUAUGAUAUACUUUCUAGAGCUAAUUUUCAAGUAAUCAGAUAAACCUGUAUUAUGCAGUUACAUAUAUGCCACUGAAC
This 1351-nucleotide long non-coding RNA is filed under the name Capra hircus (goat). RNAcentral's name for it is "lncRNA (ENSCHIG00010028399.1)". Lineage: Eukaryota; Metazoa; Chordata; Mammalia; Artiodactyla; Bovidae. The record is from RNAcentral.